AUUUAUUUUGAAGAGGAAAGUCCGGGCAUCACAGAGCAACAUACUUCCUAACGGGAAGGGUUUUGAGCAAUCGAAAUACAGAUAGUGCCGCAGAAAAUAACUACCUCGCUUGCGGGGGAAAGGUGAAAACGUGAGGUAAGAGCUCACGAAUUAUAUUGGUAACAGUAUAGUUGGGUAAACCUUAUGUGAUGAAAAACCAAAUAAACCAGAGCCUAAGAGCUGCUCGCUCGAUUCUGGAGGGUAGGUUGUUGGAGACUGCGAGUGAUUGCAGCCCUAGAUAAAUGAUAGACAUCUCACCUUGGUGGGUAAACAGGACCCGGCUUACAAAUCUUG
RNAcentral lists this RNase P RNA (333 nucleotides) under marine eukaryotic metagenome. Its description in RNAcentral is "Bacterial RNase P class A". It matches the Rfam family "Bacterial RNase P class A", at positions 31 to 357 of the family's 367-position model. Rfam says of the family: Ribonuclease P (RNase P) is a ubiquitous endoribonuclease, found in archaea, bacteria and eukarya as well as chloroplasts and mitochondria. Its best characterised activity is the generation of mature 5'-ends of tRNAs by cleaving the 5'-leader elements of precursor-tRNAs. The record is from RNAcentral.